Xiphophorus couchianus (Monterrey platyfish) is the source of this 239-nucleotide long non-coding RNA. RefSeq lists it as uncharacterized. The record is from RefSeq and is a predicted model, not a curated record. The transcript has 2 exons. NCBI's taxonomy places the organism in Eukaryota, Metazoa, Chordata, Actinopteri, Cyprinodontiformes, Poeciliidae.
CAAGUGUUUUCUCCCUCGCAGCAGCCAAAUUCCAGAGCGGUAACACAGGAAGAAGAAAGAGAGCGAUCGAUAUUACAAAUCAUAGCUGGAGCAACAGAUUUGUUCCUGAAAUCCUCUGUGAACUGCACAGGAACUCUGGCCGAAGUCCAGACGCACUCAGUGAAGAAGUGAGUCACCCACUGUUCUGAUUUUGUGAUCAGGUGCUUCCAUCGGCAACUGGAAUUUAAUCAAAGCUUUAA